This 253-nucleotide ribosomal RNA is filed under the name uncultured bacterium. RNAcentral describes it as "partial 16S ribosomal RNA". It matches the Rfam family "Bacterial small subunit ribosomal RNA", at positions 524 to 776 of the family's 1533-position model. The record is from RNAcentral.
UACGGAAGGGGCAAGCGUUGUUCGGAAUCAUUGGGCGUAAAGCGCUCGCAGGUGGUUCGAUGCGUCGUGCGUGAAAGACCCCGGCUCAACUGGGGGGUGUCGUGCGAUACGGUCGGACUGGAGGCCAGUAGGGGGAUGCGGAAUUCCGGGUGUAGUGGUGGAAUGCGUAGAGAUCCGGAGGAACACCAGCGGCGAAGGCGGCAUCCUGGACUGGUCCUGACACUCAUGAGCGAAAGCGUGGGGAGCGAUCCGG